UAGAAUGAAAAGAUGGAUCGAAAGAACUACAUUGAAGGAACCAAGGUUUUGGCCGCCUACAUGGAGAAAAUGGCCAAAAUAGAACGAGAAGCUAAUCCCGUUGCUAAUGGAAUACUUUGAAGUAGCUCAAGAUGAUUGCUAAAAAAAUUCAGUAGCGUGUGAAAUUUCCGUCCGUAACAUAGAUUUCCCCGCCCCCUUUGAUUGGGCGAUAGACUACAUACAAAAAAAGUUAAAAGUAAAAAUUUGUUUUCGAUUUCCGACAGAAGCAUUAAGAAUCGCCCUUCUGAGAAACGACCCGUGGACUAUUGUCAGUAUCUGAACGACUGCGCACCUACCCCUCCCUAACCUAACAUUAACCCUAACUUGUUAUCAAUUGACUAUUGUUAAGUUAGGAGAGGGUAGGUGCGCUGUUGCUUAAAUACUCGCGUUGAUUCCGAAUUUGCUUUGACGAUGCGAUGCUUUAGUUUAUAUGAGUAAGCGUUGAAUAGAUACGAACACUUCUGUUUAACGGCUAAAAUCAUAAUGUAACAAUAAAACAUACACUGUAGCAAAAAUGAAUGAAGAUUAAAGAGAAGAAAAGUGGUACUUGAACAA
Molecule: long non-coding RNA, 594 nt
Organism: Pocillopora damicornis (cauliflower coral)
Lineage: Eukaryota; Metazoa; Cnidaria; Anthozoa; Scleractinia; Pocilloporidae
Source: RefSeq, a predicted model, not a curated record